AACGCGAAGAACCUUACCUGGGUUUGACAUGUACUGGAAGACUACCAGAGAUGGUGUCGCCUUCGGGCCGGUACACAGGUGCUGCAUGGCUGUCGUCAGCUCGUGUCGUGAGAUGUUGGGUUAAGUCCCGCAACGAGCGCAACCCUUGCGAAUAGUUGCCAGCAUUCAGUUGGGCACUCUAUUCGGACUGCCGACGUUAAGUCGGAGGAAGGUGGGGAUGACGUCAAGUCCUCAUGGCCUUUAUAUCCAGGGCCACACACGUGCUACAAUGGGCGGUACAGAGAGAAGCUAAGUAGCGAUAUGGAGCUAAUCUCAUAAAACCGCUCUAAGUUCGGAUCGGAGUCUGCAACUCGACUCCGUGAAGCUGGAAUUGCUAGUAAUCGCGGAUCAGCACGCCGCGGUGAAUACGUUCCCGGGCCUUGUACACACCGCGAGC
Molecule: ribosomal RNA, 436 nt
Filed under: uncultured bacterium
Lineage: Bacteria
Description: bacterial SSU rRNA
Rfam family: Bacterial small subunit ribosomal RNA
Source: RNAcentral